UACGAAGGGGGCUAGCGUUGCUCGGAAUCACUGGGCGUAAAGGGUGCGUAGGUGGUUAGGUAAGUCCGAUGUGAAAUCUCCAGGCUCAACCUGGAAAUGGCAUUGGAUACUAUCUAGCUUGAGGAGUGGAGGGGGGACUGGAAUUCUCGGUGUAGCAGUGAAAUGCGUAGAUAUCGAGAGGAACACCAGUGGCGAAGGCGAGUCCCUGGACACUUCCUGACACUGAGGCACGAAAGCUAGGGGAGCAAACAGG
This 253-nucleotide ribosomal RNA is filed under the name uncultured bacterium. RNAcentral describes it as "partial 16S ribosomal RNA". It matches the Rfam family "Bacterial small subunit ribosomal RNA", at positions 524 to 776 of the family's 1533-position model. The record is from RNAcentral.